This 253-nucleotide ribosomal RNA is filed under the name uncultured bacterium. Its description in RNAcentral is "partial 16S ribosomal RNA". It matches the Rfam family "Bacterial small subunit ribosomal RNA", at positions 524 to 776 of the family's 1533-position model. The record is from RNAcentral.
GACAGAGGGGGCAAGCGUUGCUCGGAAUCACUGGGCGUAAAGGGCGCGUAGGCGGGAUGGCAAGUCAGUCGUGAAAUCUCUCGGCUCAACCGAGAAACGUCGGCUGAUACUGCCGUUCUUGAGGGAUGCAGAGGAGACUGGAAUUCCCGGUGUAGCGGUGAAAUGCGCAGAUAUCAGGAGGAACACCGGUGGCGAAGGCGGUUCUCUGGGCAUGACCUGACGCUGAGGAGCGAAAGUGUGGGGAGCGAACAGG